RNAcentral lists this ribosomal RNA (253 nucleotides) under uncultured bacterium. RNAcentral describes it as "partial 16S ribosomal RNA". It matches the Rfam family "Bacterial small subunit ribosomal RNA", at positions 524 to 776 of the family's 1533-position model. The record is from RNAcentral.
UACGUAGGUGGCGAGCGUUAUCCGGAUUUACUGGGCGUAAAGAGCGCGCAGGCGGUCGUGCAAGUCGGAUGUGAAAGCCCUCGGCUCAACUGGGGAAAGUCAUUCGAUACUGCUCGACUUGAAGGCGGGAGAGGGAAGCGGAAUUCCCGGUGUAGUGGUGAAAUGCGUAGAUAUCGGGAGGAACACCAGUGGCGAAGGCGGCUUCCUGGCCCGUUCUUGACGCUGAGGCGCGAAAGCUAGGGGAGCAAACGGG